CCUACGGGCGGCAGCAGUGAGGAAUAUUGGUCAAUGGGCGAGAGCCUGAACCAGCCAAGCCGCGUGAGGGACGACGGUCCUAAGGAUUGUAAACCUCUUUUGUCGGGGCACAAAGGCGCCCACGGGUGGGCGGAUGAGUGUACCUGAAGAAAAAGCAUCGGCUCACUCCGUGCCAGCAGCCGCGGUAAUACGGAGGAUGCAAGCGUUAUCCGGAUUUAUUUGGUUUAAGGGGUGCGUAGGCGGACAGUCAAGUCAGCGGUAAAAAUACGGUGCUCAACGCCGUACAGCCGUUGAAACUGGCAGUCUUGAGUGGGCGAGAAGUAUGCGGAAGUCGUGGUGUAGCGGUGAAAUGCAUAGAUAUCACGCAGAACUCCGAUUGCGAAGGUAGCAUACCGGCGCCCUACUGACGCUGAGGCACGAAAGCGUGGGUAUCGAACAGGAUUAGAUACCCGUGUAGUC
RNAcentral lists this ribosomal RNA (459 nucleotides) under uncultured bacterium. RNAcentral's name for it is "partial 16S ribosomal RNA". It matches the Rfam family "Bacterial small subunit ribosomal RNA", at positions 338 to 795 of the family's 1533-position model. The record is from RNAcentral.